GAUGAACGCUGGCGGCGUGCCUAAUACAUGCAAGUCGAGCGAAUGGAAUAAGAGCUUGCUCUUAUGAAGUUAGCGGCGGACGGGUGAGUAACACGUGGGUAACCUGCCCAUAAGACUGGGAUAACUCCGGGAAACCGGGGCUAAUACCGGAUAACAUUUUGAACCGCAUGGUUCGAAAUUGAAAGGCGGCUUCGGCUGUCACUUAUGGAUGGACCCGCGUCGCAUUAGCUAGUUGGUGAGGUAACGGCUCACCAAGGCAACGAUGCGUAGCCGACCUGAGAGGGUGAUCGGCCACACUGGGACUGAGACACGGCCCAGACUCCUACGGGAGGCAGCAGUAGGGAAUCUUCCGCAAUGGACGAAAGUCUGACGGAGCAACGCCGCGUGAGUGAUGAAGGCUUUCGGGUCGUAAGACUCUGUUGUUAGGGAAGAACAAGUGCUAGUUGAAUAAGCUGGCACCUUGACGGUACCUAACCAGAAAGCCACGGCUAACUACGUGCCAGCCGCCGCGGUAA
Molecule: ribosomal RNA, 515 nt
Filed under: uncultured bacterium
Lineage: Bacteria
Description: partial 16S ribosomal RNA
Rfam family: Bacterial small subunit ribosomal RNA
Source: RNAcentral